This is a long non-coding RNA of Dipodomys spectabilis (banner-tailed kangaroo rat), 570 nucleotides long. RefSeq lists it as uncharacterized. The record is from RefSeq and is a predicted model, not a curated record. The transcript has 2 exons. NCBI's taxonomy places the organism in Eukaryota, Metazoa, Chordata, Mammalia, Rodentia, Heteromyidae.
UCCGGUGGCCGCGGGGUCCGGCGGCCGCGGGGUCCGGCGGGGCACCCCGCUGCUGGCCGCCCGCUCGCUCCGUGCGGACUCUGGUUGGGCCAGGCGAAGGACGCCCAGUGGAGAGCCCCCGUCGGUUCCCGUCACCACGGUGGCCGAGCGGGCCCAUCCGGAGCCUCACCCGCCGCGCGCUGAGCCCCGAGAGCGGCCCUGGCGCGCGGGGCCUGCACCGAGGCCCCGGCACUGUGGACUUGUCGUAGGUUCCCUCGGUGUUUCGUUUUGCUUUAGUUUUUAUCCCCCCCCCCAGGCCCUUCUCACUCAGAUCUCGGGCGAAGUAGUUAACCGUAGUAGGAUUUUUGAGACCUUUUGUAGCACUUAGUUCCGGGAAGAAACUAGUGGAGGAGGUAGGCGUCCAUUCUCCCAUUUCACAGGUGGAGAAACUGAGAGUGAGAAACUUCAGAAGUAUCCUAGGAAGAUAAUAGUUUUAUUUACUAAGCAAUUAAAUUUGCCCAGCAUACUGUGACGUAUACAUGAUCUCAUUUAAGUUAACUUUUAGAAAUAAGACCUCUAUUUUAUACAACA